UGGGGGAUAACGUAGGGAAACUUACGCUAAUACCGCAUACGACCUUCGGGUGAAAGCAGGGGACCUUCGGGCCUUGCGCGGAUAGAUGAGCCGAUGUCGGAUUAGCUAGUUGGCGGGGUAAAGGCCCACCAAGGCGACGAUCCGUAGCUGGUCUGAGAGGAUGAUCAGCCACACUGGAACUGAGACACGGUCCAGACUCCUACGGGAGGCAGCAGUGGGGAAUAUUGGACAAUGGGCGCAAGCCUGAUCCAGCCAUACCGCGUGGGUGAAGAAGGCCUUCGGGUUGUAAAGCCCUUUUGUUGGGAAAGAAAAGCAAUCGAUUAAUACUCGGUUGUUCUGACGGUACCCAAAGAAUAAGCACCGGCUAACUUCGUGCCAGCAGCCGCGGUAAUACGAAGGGUGCAAGCGUUACUCGGAAUUACUGGGCGUAAAGCGUGCGUAGGUGGUUGUUUAAGUCUGUUGUGAAAGCCCUGGGCUCAACCUGGGAAUUGCAGUGGAUACUGGGCAACUAGAGUGUGGUAGAGGGUAGUGGAAUUCCCGGUGUAGCAGUGAAAUGCGUA
This 560-nucleotide ribosomal RNA is filed under the name Stenotrophomonas sp. C10-6. RNAcentral describes it as "bacterial SSU rRNA". It matches the Rfam family "Bacterial small subunit ribosomal RNA", at positions 137 to 692 of the family's 1533-position model. The record is from RNAcentral. Lineage: Bacteria; Pseudomonadati; Pseudomonadota; Gammaproteobacteria; Lysobacterales; Lysobacteraceae.